Molecule: unclassified non-coding RNA, 161 nt
Filed under: uncultured Basidiobolus
Lineage: Eukaryota; Fungi; Basidiobolomycota; Basidiobolomycetes; Basidiobolales; Basidiobolaceae
Description: sequence contains ITS1
Source: RNAcentral
ACAAAUAAUAUCCAAUACCAACCUCUUGUGCACUGUUGACGUAUGCUUUGGUAGGGAGUGAAAUGGUUCGUUAGGACCUUUCGAUCUGCCAGAGUUUAUUCAAUACUAAACAAACGAAUGUCUUAUCUAAUUGACUGAAAUUCAUUUUACAAAUGAAAAUA